AUCACUUCUUGGCCUUUUGGCUAAGAUCAAGUGUAGUAUCUCACAUUAGAUACUUUUUAAUAAACCAAUGUGCACAAAAUGAGGAGGCUUUCCUUGUCUUUUAGAACUCUUCAAGGAUCUUGGAGAGUUUCUAGAUUGUCA
This is a small nuclear RNA of Naja naja (Indian cobra), 141 nucleotides long. Its record names the gene U2. It matches the Rfam family "U2 spliceosomal RNA". From Rfam's summary of the family: U2 is a small nuclear RNA (snRNA) component of the spliceosome (involved in pre-mRNA splicing). Complementary binding between U2 snRNA (in an area lying towards the 5' end but 3' to hairpin I) and the branchpoint sequence (BPS) of the intron results the bulging out of an unpaired adenosine, on the BPS, which initiates a nucleophilic attack at the intronic 5' splice site, thus starting the first of two transesterification reactions that mediate splicing. NCBI's taxonomy places the organism in Eukaryota, Metazoa, Chordata, Lepidosauria, Squamata, Elapidae. The record is from Ensembl.